Long non-coding RNA from Carassius carassius (crucian carp), 582 nucleotides. RefSeq lists it as uncharacterized. The transcript has 3 exons. NCBI's taxonomy places the organism in Eukaryota, Metazoa, Chordata, Actinopteri, Cypriniformes, Cyprinidae. The record is from RefSeq and is a predicted model, not a curated record.
CAUUAGUUGCUUAGUUCAACCUGCAUCUCCUUCCUGGUCAACGGAAAGCCAGUUCAAGGCACGCUGGAGAACUUCAGUCUGGAUGGGCUGCUAUUUCCAGUGGUUCGCUUCUCAGCUGUAGUGCAGGUGCAUUUGGAGGUCGACGUGGGGAGUUUAGGUUUCUUCCUCCAGCUGACUUCUCUCCAUGCGCUGAAUCUGUCCUCCCCAAAACCUGCUGCAAGCUAGAGCUGUUUGACAAAAUCACACGAAAUCACACUGAAGGUCAUCGUGACCUCUUAGUCCCAGUUGUAUAAGCCCAGUGACCUUUAUCCCCAUUCCAGUGGAUUCCAGCGAGGUUGAAUAUUCUCCACAGCUGGAGCAGAUCAGAGAAAGAUUAGCAGAAAACCUCCAUGAACUCUGGCUUACUGACAAAAUAUAGCAGAUCUCGACCUACAGACCUGUUAGUAACUGAGUAACAUCCUUUCAGUAGUUUCAUCUCAUUCUGAUGUGCAUCUCUUCUGCUAGGUUAAAGAUGAGAGCAAAAAAGUACACUCGUGUCUAGUCGAGUUUUCCAAACAUCCAGAUCAGGAGCGAAUUAAUAAC